Molecule: long non-coding RNA, 725 nt
Filed under: Phoenix dactylifera (date palm)
Lineage: Eukaryota; Viridiplantae; Streptophyta; Magnoliopsida; Arecales; Arecaceae
Description: long non-coding RNA (PDAC_LNC006103)
Source: RNAcentral
AAUUAAUCGGAAUAGAGUUCUUAAGUUUCAGAUCUGAUAGUUAAUAAUGCAUAAAAGUUUUAGCAUAAUUGUUUAAACGAUUCCGACAUAAUCCUAUGUAUUCUUAAAGUGCUGAUUUCUAGAUUUGAUCUUGUAAGCAUGCAUGAAUUAAAUUGUUUGAUUCGGUUUUUCCGCUGCGUUUUAAAACUUAAAAAGAACUACGUAUGGCUUGAUCCCCCUUAUGAAGGGGUACGUAGGCAACCCGAUCAGGUUCAGCCAUGGUUUAAAAAAAAAAAAUUCAGCAUGCUUAAUACCGAAAAACUUAGGAUUCACUUUCAGUGGUAUCAGAGCAAAGGUCCAAGAGUUGUGACCGAUCUCCGGGAACUCUCACGCGUGAUCGUGUGACGAAGCGUGGCUCUCCGUCCGGAGGCGUAUAGAGAUGCAUGCUCUGAUAGGUAUACAUGGGUGUCACCCUAUUUUUAAUAGGACCGAACCCAUGUAGGAGUGGAGACUCCCCCCAUCAGUGGUAUCAGAGCUAGGUUCAUGUUUAAACUUUUAUGUUUUAAUUUUUGCAAUUAAAUCUGAAAUCAUGAGCAUGCUUAGAUUAGAUCUAAAGUAUUUUUUUUAUGAUUGAUUUAAUUGCUGAUUAUGCAUGAUUAACUAGACCUGAAAUUUUGAAUGCAUAUGAUGCAUAUUUGUGUUAAGAUUUGUAUCAUAAAUAAAUCUGAAAUCAUAAUAUUGUUUNN